GAUGAAGAACGUAGCGAAAUGCGAUAAGUAAUGUGAAUUGCAGAAUUCAGUGAAUCAUCGAAUCUUUGAACGCACAUUGCGCUCUUUGGUAUUCCGGAGAGCAUGCUUCUUUGAGAAUCAGUAAAUUCAUCAACCCCAAUGUUUUGGAUUUUAUUCCGAGAUGUUGGUGGUUGGAUCUGGGUCAUUUGCCGUCUCACGACAGCAAUAACCUGAAAUUCAAUGUUACGCUCCUUUGAACCGAAAGGUUUUGGGCAAACGCAUGAAUGAGGAAACUCAGCAGUACGUGAGCCUUUGAAACUGAUCGAUUCAGGUGGUGGGUGACUCAACUAAUUCACCAGGGAUUGUGAGCAUCAGCUCGCUUUUUCUGAACUCUUGGUCUCAAAUGAAGUAGGAAAACCCGCUGAACUUAAGCAUAUCAAUAAGCGGAGGA
RNAcentral lists this unclassified non-coding RNA (430 nucleotides) under soil metagenome. RNAcentral's name for it is "partial contains 5.8S ribosomal RNA, internal transcribed spacer 2, and large subunit ribosomal RNA". The stretch from base 1 to 120 matches the Rfam family "5.8S ribosomal RNA", at positions 35 to 154 of the family's 154-position model. The record is from RNAcentral.